GAUGAAGAACGCAGCGAAAUGCGACAAGUAGUGUGAAUUGCAGAAUUCAGUGAAUCAUCGAAUCUUUGAACGCACAUUGCGCCCUUUGGUAUUCCAAAGGGCAUGCCUGUUCGAGCGUCAUUUGUACCCUCAAGCUUUGCUUGGUGUUGAGCGUCUUGUCUCUAGCUUUGCUGGAGACUCGCCUUAAAGUAAUUGGCAGCCGGCCUACUGGUUUCGGAGCGCAGCACAAGUCGCACUCUCUAUCAGCAAAGGUCUAGCAUCCAUUAAGCCUUUUUUUUCAACUUUUGACCUCGGAUCAGGUAGGGAUACCCGCUGAACUUAAGCAUAUCAAUAAGCGGAGGA
RNAcentral lists this unclassified non-coding RNA (342 nucleotides) under soil metagenome. RNAcentral describes it as "partial contains 5.8S ribosomal RNA, internal transcribed spacer 2, and large subunit ribosomal RNA". The stretch from base 1 to 120 matches the Rfam family "5.8S ribosomal RNA", at positions 35 to 154 of the family's 154-position model. The record is from RNAcentral.